This 513-nucleotide ribosomal RNA is filed under the name uncultured bacterium. Its description in RNAcentral is "partial 16S ribosomal RNA". It matches the Rfam family "Bacterial small subunit ribosomal RNA", at positions 29 to 523 of the family's 1533-position model. The record is from RNAcentral.
AGCGAACGCUGGCGGCAGGCUUAACACAUGCAAGUCGAGCGAACAGAUGAAGUGCUUGCACUUCUGACGUUAGCGGCGAACGGGUGAGUAACACGUAAGGAAUCUACCUAUAAGCGGGGGAUAACAUUCGGAAACGGGUGCUAAUACCGCAUAAUAUCUUCUUCCGCAUGGAAGAAGAUUGAAAGACGGCUCUGCUGUCACUUAUAGAUGACCUUGCGGUGCAUUAGUUAGUUGGUGGGGUAACGGCCUACCAAGACGAUGAUGCAUAGCCGACCUGAGAGGGUGAUCGGCCACAUUGGGACUGAGACACGGCCCAAACUCCUACGGGAGGCAGCAGUAGGGAAUCUUCCGCAAUGGGCGAAAGCCUGACGGAGCAAUGCCGCGUGAGUGAAGAAGGCCUUCGGGUCGUAAAACUCUGUUAUAAGAGAAGAACAAAUUGUAGAGUAACUGCUACAGUCUUGACGGUAUCUUAUCAGAAAGCCACGGCUAACUACGUGCCAGCCGCCGCGGUAA